UUCUGGGCUGUGAGCACACACCGUGCUCAUGUGAGUUUUUCAUCAACUAUUACCCCCAAGUCUUUCUCUGCAGGGUUGUUCUUCAAUCACUUUUCUGUCCAGCCUGCAUUUGUGCCCACAUGUGUGGUUGGAAGGAUAUGUAACAAGAGGAUCUCUUGGUAAUAUUUCUCCAGUCCUGGGCAUGAGCUACAUGAGAUGCUGUGCUAAUGAAGAAGGAAAUGUGGAUGUACAGAUAGCUUCACCUUGGUAUUCUGCUCAUCACUAGGAUAAGAUUGUGGUAAGGGGAGUUAUUUGAAGGGAAUAAAAUUGGCCUGUGAUCCCAAGUAUUUGUAGUUGCUGGGAUGGACAAGGAAAGUUCUAGGCAUCAGCCUUGCUCUGUUGUGAUGCUAGAGCUCCUUUUGUGGGACAGGACAGCUUUGCUCCUGGAAAAGUGCUGUCCCAAGAGAGCACUACCUGGCUCUGAAGUCACCCAACACAGUGGGCAGCCCUGAGGUCUGGGUGAGCAGGUGUCCUUGCUUGUCUUGACUGCAGUUUGAGCUUUAUGGAAGGGCUCAGGGGAAAUGCCAUUGUUUGGAAUCCACAUGUCUGGCAUGCAGUCAAGUCAGUCUUCCUUUGUAGCUUUCCUCCACUAGGGGUGAAGGAGAUUUGUGAAGUUAAUUAGACUCCAGAUUUGAACUUUCCUCAUGGGUGUUGGAAACUGGCAUUCUUCUUUCAACUUAUAUGCAUCUAGAGCUGCUACACAUUGGACUUGGGAUGCUCCUGGAAUGAGAAAUGGAAUGUAUGACAUAUCUAUCUGCUUUCCAGGGACUGCUUUGUCAGAGUCUGUGAUUCAGCUCUUUGCCUUAUGGAUUAACUGGGAGUAUUCAUGUACUUUUAAAAUUUCUUUUAAAACAUUUUGCUGAGAUGAAGUCUGUGCAGUUAAUUAGAACUCUGCCACUGUUCACAGAAUGCUGGCUGUGCUGAGCAAAGCUCUUCAAACACCUUUUUCCUGAAUUUGAACAGGCAAAGCACUGGGCUCUCACGCUUUCUUGGCAGGCAGAAGUGGUGAGGUAAGGAGCUACUUGUUCCUGGUGGCAUUUCUGUGCUGCUGGGAGACUGGCUGUGUAGUGAGCUGGAGCCAGCACUCCUCAGCUCCUGGGUCUUGUAGAAGAAUGGGGCAGAGAGUUUUGCUUUGCCAAAUGCAGUCUGUCCUUACUGGGAGCCACACAUCAGAGAUAUCCUUUUGGCACAGUGGUCAAAUACCAUUUCAGCAGAUGUUUAAUGCAAAAUUGUCAGCGCUUCCAAGGAAAGCUGUGCCACAGCUUUGUUCCUCUGCUCAAUAGCAAAUUCCUUCAGACUCCCAGGUUCUUUCAUCUUUAACUGGUUCAUAGUCCUGUAUCCAUAUUUGAACCCUUUGUGAUCACUUCUUCCAUCCCUUGAUUGUGUCCUUUGCCGAGGGAACAUCCCUCCAGCUUCUGCCCUCUUCUGAGUGAGCAGCUUACAUGCUUUGCCUAUCCUUGCCCAGAGCCAGUUUUGUUCAGAAAUAGAUUGAUUCAUUUUUUCAUCUAAAUGUGGAAUGGUCCAGAUUUUUAUGUGAGAGCUGAGAUCAAAAACUUGUUGUUUGCUUCUACUUAAACAAAAUAUGCUUUUUUAAAAAAAAAUAAUCUGAAGAUGUUCCAAAAUUUCUCCUGAAACAUUUUUCACUUUCUUAUAUUUCAAAAAAGAUUAGCAGAAACAUGGAACUGCUUUGGCAGUUGUGGAAAUAAAAUUAAAAAAACAUGAGUUAAAAUGCAACUGCUCAAGCCUGGGGGGUGGAGGCUGAAGAGUGUUUACUAGAAACAUACUUGCUGUGUGGCUGGGACAGCUUUCUGUUUGGGAAAAUAUUGCAAAUCUAUUCACUUUACAUAUGGACAAGUGGUGAUAUAUCAGUGUUCUGUGUAUCGUGCGUGUACCCCGAGUACAGAAAUGCCUUGUUCUCAGGAAGCUUCCAUCUCUGGAGUGAAAGGCAGCAGCUAUUUUUAGUAGUGUGCUGCAGCAUUGCAUAGGAGAGCACAAGAUGAUGCUGUUUCCCUGGCUCACUUCAUGGAUGACUUUGCUAAUUUACUAUGUGAGGACUGAUGACAAACUAGUACCACCAGAGGAGCACAGACACAGCUUCAUGUUUUUUUGAAAGAAGCCAGCAAGGUUGUGUUGAGGACCAGUCUCAAACCGAACAACAAAAAUUAUUUCAUUGGAGAAGAGCUCAUAAAACUAUGCCCUGUAUCUGUAAAUGCUUGAAAUUCCAGCUUUAGAAAUAAACAUUACAAUGCAAAGCCUGGGCUGUUUCUGUCAGGUGCCCAGAAGAGUGGGCACUGAGAUGUAGUAGCUGGUAGUCAGGAUGGAGAAUGUCCCCUCUUUAAAGAGGCAGCAAAAGACUUCCAUUUCUUUCUCCUGCUCAAACCCCUUUCCUGAAGAUUUCACAGAUUCUCACCAGGUACUGCCCUCUCUGUAUGCACAAGAUGUGUUCUGUAACACAGUAACAGCAGUAACAACAGUCCCGCUUUUCUGACAUGUGUGAUCAAUUGGAGAUUAAAUCCUAACAUGAAACCUUGCAGCAAAAGGCUGCGCUUGGUUUACACCAUCUUGUCAGGCUGCUGGAGUUCCAAAGUCAGCAUUUUGUUUGGGUGAUGACACCAGGACCAUCACAUUUACUCUUCUGUUGACAGCUGGUCUGCUGAUUUCCCUCUGCAAAUGGCUUUGGGUUUUGCAAGUGUAAGGGGUGAAGAGCCAUGUGACUGCAACAGAACAGUUUGUUUCUGCAGUAAAUGGAAAAAGCAAAAUGCAAACACAGUAGAAAUCUUGCCUCCUGUAUUUCAAUUGCUCAUUUUUUUAGAAAAAUUGUAUGGCUGAUGUUUGUUGGAAUUUUUAUGGCUUUUCCUAGUGUGCAUUCGUGCAUUUCUUCUCUCCAGACUAGCUUCAUUAUUGUAAAAAAGAAGUUGGUGUGCCCAAGAAAAUGCUGUUGUUGAGAGUGGUAACAUGUGGAAUUUAGUGAGUUAGCUACUAAAGAACAUUAUUUCAGCAGUUAUCACAGAAUAGACAUGUAAGAUGUAAAACUGUUUAAACUUGGCAAGAACAUCCAAGAUUUGCAUUUUCCUAAUUAGAAGUGCUAGAGUUAUUGCAAAAGCAAGGCAUAAUUGGUUUACCUGGAAUUUUUUUCAAAACUGAAAUAUACACAGAAAAACAUUUGAAAAUUAAGGAUUUCAAUGUAGUUUGAAGACCUGGGAAGAUCCAGCCUUUAUGAAUGUUAUAAAAGCCUUGCUGGAUAUGUUUUAGCCAUUUGUACUGGUGCAUUUAUAGCAAUGCAUAGUGGGAGUGGAAAUUAUGUUUUGUUGUGCAUUUGUGAGCAAGGAUUUUCAGUUGUAUUCACUUUAUAAAGAUGAAAAAUAUCAAAAAAGUCAUUCAGUCAUGUUUUGAGCUCUGGAACUUGUUUUCUUGCAGAGGAAUAUUGCAAAUGGAUUUCAGACCACUUGGGACUGUGAUUUGGAGCAGUAACCUCUGACUGAAAGCAAGGUGGAGAAGGAAGAGAAUGCAGUUUGGAUUUACCAUUGUUAAAUUAAGCAGUGCCUGUUUAAAGGAUUUUUAAGUUUUUUGUUGGGUCAUUCUGGAUUUGUAUGAAUUUUUUUUUUUUUGUUUCUGUAAUAGCUGCUGUCUCCAAAUGCUUGGCAUAAUUCUGCUUUGCUUACUUAAAGUGGAGUCUUGCUUCUGAAGUCUCUGAAGUUGUUACAGUCUAAGCCUGGCCUGAAUCUGGAAUCCAUAUUGGCAUACUUUACGGAAAAUAUCUCAGGGCUUAAAUAACUAAGCUGUAAAGAUUUUCUUUCUUGUUACCCUAAUUUAAAAAAAAUAAAUAAAGGAAGAGCAAGACAUUGCUACAGAUAUGCUGUAUUUUAUUUACAUGGAUAUUCUGGUGUCCAAGCUGCUGAUUCAUAUGAUGAGGGAACCUCUGUUGCGUGGCUGGUUCAAACACUUAAAAGUAGACGUGCCUGCCAGGGGUGCAGACCUUCUGGCACAGGUAAUAAAAGCCAGAUGUAUCAGCAGCUUCAACUCCAGCUCAGCCACAGAACUGAAAUGAAGUCUGUGUGUGUCAGCCACCAGUUUGUCACAGCACAGCCUUGGCAGAAGGACUAUGUGUUCUGUAUCAGGGAGCCCCAACCCAGUUGUGGGGGUCAUAUUGCUCAGCCUUUUGGACCAAAUGAUCAUCAAAAUCAGCCUUAAGACAGGCUUUGGAGGUUUUACUGAAGGAAGUAGGUUGGUUUUUAUGUUGUUGCUGGUUAGUUUGGGUUUUGGUGCUAUGGUUUUUUGUUUGGCAGUUUUUUUAAAUUAGGAAAUCAAACCAGGUUGGCCUUGUGAAUCUCUGUCCUGCCUUAGUCAGGUCAACACAUGAGACUUGGAAGGCACUAAGGUUCUGGAGUGCUGGAAAGUAGUCUGCACCAAGGAGAAAGUGUUUUCCAGAAGCACUGGCUGUCUCAUAACCCAGUCAAACUCUACUUUUGUUGCAGAGUACCUGCAGUACAGCUUUGAGGGCUGGCUCUUGUAAAACUGUCAAGACUCAGCUGAGUUUAGCAUAAUGCAAACUUCUGUCUGCAAUCCUGUUCCCUGACCCGAGUCUGCCCUGCAACAACUGUAUCUAGGGCUAGGAGAAGAGUUUGGCUUGUCCUGUCUUAAGUACAUUCAUUCUUGUAGUACUCCUGUAGCUAUUCCAGGGAUCUGCUGAAUCUCUAGUACAGAGCUGGGCAAAUAAACACCGAAGAAACCUGUGAGAGAGGUAAGUCUCAAGCCAAAGACAAUCCCCUAGGUGUGGGGGUGGCCUUUCUCUCUUUGCCAGUCCUCGCUGUUCUUGUCAAAGCUGCCAGUGGCAAGCAGUGAGUUAAAAAUGCUCACUUCUGGAAAGCCACACUCACAGCCCUGCCGAGCAGCAGUUCAAAGAUUGUUUUCAUGCUUAGCAUGUUUCACUCCUGCCUCUUCAGAGAUCAUGUUAAUAUUAUCACCUCUCAUCAAACAUUAAUCUGUACAUCAUUUGCCAAUUGAAGCAUGAGUAGGUUGCACAGAUUUAUUCAGCAAGCAGCAAUUGCUGCCUAGACUCUGUGGUCUAGUUGUUAACAGCUGGCUGUUUGGGUUGUGUUUUUGUUAAGUGGAGAGCCUAUUUAUAGGCAGCAGAACACAUGCACAUCCUUGUCUGUGCUACUGCAGAUCCUGGGAAAUCUCCCCUGGUACAAAAGCCUAGUCUACCAGCUAGCAUAAUGUAUACUAAAGCCAGCGUGGGAGAGUUAGAGGUGUUGGUUUUUGUUGGGUUUUCUCCUCUAUCACUAUCUUGAAGCUUUGGAGCAGACCGAUAGCACAGGGUCAGGCUGCCUGCCUGAAAACUGGGGCAAAAUGUUUCCCAGGAUACAGAGGAAGCAAUCUAUGGUGGUGGUGUCUGACACAAAAUGCCAUUAAAAAUAUUCUUGUGUCAAAGAAUCUGAUUUUAAACAAGGUAUUUAAUGUGCAAGUGUCUAUGUGUGUGCAUCUCACCACAUUCUUUACCCAGAAGAAGGCAGAGUUAGCUUUUCUUUGCUUCUUUAAAAUCAGAUGGCAGGUGAGGAAUCUGUGGUGACAAGAGCCUGGGAGCUGUGUCACUCCUUCUCAAGGGCUGGAGGAGAAGAGGGUGUUGGCUGACAGCCAGCAGAGGAAAACCUAUUUAUGUGUGCACACUUGACACCAUCACUGAGAUGGGGAGUAUGGCCUGGUGCCCCUGAGCAGCCGGGAGUUUGGCUGUGGCACUCUGCUAUUCAGAGGUGCUGCUUGCCUGAGUCACUCUUUGUGCUGAAAAUGAAACACUGUGAUUCUAGCAGAGCAUACAAUGAACUGCUAAUUACAAAAGUGAAAACAAAGUUAAAGAGAAAAAUGAGCACAGCAUAAUUUCACAUAGUGCUAAAUAGCUGCCUUUUUUUUUUUUUCUUGGUUGCUUUAGUCUCCCUACUAUGAGGUGUUAUGGCAGAGAGUGGGAAACUGGCUUUUCCACUUGCUUCUUCCAGAGUUCACACACCUCUGGGCUGCUUUUCUCUCCUUUUGUUCAAGAAGGAUUUCCCAUGAUCUUGUACAUCAUUCUACUGCUCUCAUCUUUGUGCAGUGCUCUCUUCCCAACUCAUGCUUGCUUGCUUCAUAUGUAGGAAGUCACAUUUUAAUUCCAUCACAGCAAUUAUUCUAUCUGGGUGGGGGAAAAAAAAACCCACCAGCUGCUGUUCUGUAUUGUGAAGAACACAGGACAACCUGCUUUGUCUGUCCCUUCCUUCUCUCCCAGUUUCUUGUCACAUCAGAGUUUGGAAGUAGUUUCAAUAGGUACUUGUGAAGGAGGAGAAUGAAGAAUUCUGCAGGGCACUGGAGUGAGCAGAAGCACAGAGUGGACUCUGGCUGGAAUGAUGUGUGCACUCCAGUCUGUGCACUUGCUUCUCAGAGCGUGGUCUUUGAGUGAGCAGCCUCAGAGACAUACAUGAACUGUUAAAUUGUUUCAGUCACCCACCUGUUUACACCUCUCCUCAGGGGGAAGGUACUUGGGUAAGUACUACAUACAUCAGUCUGCAUUUCAUAUUCAGGCACACAGGCAUUAAUGCUGAUGCACAAUUCAUACAUGAGUAGCAUGCAUGACAUCCCAAGGAUCUGUUUACAGGAUCGGGACCCCGGAGCUUCAGCCAUGAGGAAUACAGGAAUGCACUGGCAGUGCGUUCUAUCCUGACUGGCAAUCCACUCCUAGCCAAGGAUGCAAACGGAUAGGCUCCAGUGCUUUCUGCAAGGCGCUGUGCCAGCAUGGUACAGAUGAUGGGGAAGAGCUGAACAGAUACUUAACAUCUCUGUGUAUAUCUUCCCCAUUCUGUCAUAAGAGUACCUCAUAUAAAUAAAUAAAAGGGAUGCUGUUAAGUCAUGCCAGUCAAAAAAAAGUCUGAAGACAGACUCUGGCUGCCUGCCCGGUUGUGCUAGGUUUUGUAGGCUACGAAGCAUAUACUUGUGUCUGAGAAAGUACUUAACUGGUGAUCCAUGGACUUCUGGAGACCUGGGAUGAUUUCUGAUGGAGAUGUUAAAUGUAAAUAAGAGACUCUUGUAAUGGGACUUCUACUCUGCAGGAAUCAGCAACUCUUAAAAAAUGCUGAGGUCUCUAAGCUGUAAGAAGUUGACACCCAUUUUCUCAUUUAUAGAACACUUCAGGAAUGCUGUAGGGCACUUGAUGCCAAGAAAGCUCUGCCUUUUCUCUGUCACACUGACAUUGGUGGAACUUGGGUUAGUAAAUCUGCAGGAUCCCACUGUCAGACUUGAGUUUGGUGUUUGGGUUGUCUGGGGUUUUUUUUUGAGGGGGAAUGUUCCUUUCUUUCCAUGUAGGCCUAGUAACAGUCCCUAUUUCCUCAGUUAAGUGACUUCCUGUGGCUGGGAUUUGGAAAUCAGUAGAACCUUUCGUAUUGUUUUUUUCUGCUGUCCUUGAAUCUCUUUUAGGAAGUUGGUGUCUCUGAACCACCUCUAGAGUAAUUGGAGGGCAGAUGCUCUGUGAGGUUUGUACUUGUUUAAACAGUAAAUUAAAUUGCAGGGAAGCUGUACUCGCUCACAGAUAUGAUGAUUAUGAUGUUAAAAUGGUACUGGGUAGGCCCACACCUCCAGCCCCAUGGGAAUCCUUAAUGGAAAACAAGGAGCUGUAACAUCACUGACCCUGUACAGUGUGACCUUGGGGUGGGGGUGUGUGGGGGAAACACUGACUUGCUGAAACCUUCCCCCUCCCACAACUCCA
Molecule: non-coding RNA, 7765 nt
Organism: Cyanistes caeruleus (blue tit)
Lineage: Eukaryota; Metazoa; Chordata; Aves; Passeriformes; Paridae
Source: RefSeq, a predicted model, not a curated record